Molecule: transfer RNA, 77 nt
Filed under: Bacteriovoracaceae bacterium
Lineage: Bacteria; Pseudomonadati; Bdellovibrionota; Bacteriovoracia; Bacteriovoracales; Bacteriovoracaceae
Description: tRNA-Ile
Rfam family: tRNA
About the family: Transfer RNA (tRNA) molecules are approximately 80 nucleotides in length. Their secondary structure includes four short double-helical elements and three loops (D, anti-codon, and T loops).
Source: RNAcentral
GGGAUAAUAGCUCAGUUGGUUAGAGCUCCCGGCUCAUAACCGGGUGGUCCCUGGUUCAAGUCCAGGUUGUCCCACCA